CGGGUUCAAAUCCUGUCUCCGCAA
RNAcentral lists this transfer RNA (24 nucleotides) under Solanum melongena (eggplant). Its description in RNAcentral is "partial tRNA-Met". Lineage: Eukaryota; Viridiplantae; Streptophyta; Magnoliopsida; Solanales; Solanaceae. The record is from RNAcentral. RNAcentral also lists the same sequence under 10 other names.